RNAcentral lists this non-coding RNA (31 nucleotides) under Homo sapiens (human). Lineage: Eukaryota; Metazoa; Chordata; Mammalia; Primates; Hominidae. The record is from RNAcentral.
UGUGUAUGAGGAUAACAUGCCAAGCAAGGGA